Molecule: long non-coding RNA, 255 nt
Filed under: Ananas comosus (pineapple)
Lineage: Eukaryota; Viridiplantae; Streptophyta; Magnoliopsida; Poales; Bromeliaceae
Description: long non-coding RNA (ACOM_LNC019438)
Source: RNAcentral
AUUUUUUAAAGAAUAUUCAUUUUCAGCCAUUCAUUUUUCUGUUCACUAGAUGGAUAAAAAACAAUAUCGAAAAUGCGUGAAAUUUGAUUUCUAGGUAGUUUAAAUGGUUUAGAUCAUAUUUAACGGAGCCGAUCGUUAAUUUGGAAGCUCUAUCAUCGAAAAUAACUCGAUAGUAAACAGGCUCGUUUACUAUCGAGAGUAUUCUAGCUCAUAUAUAUAUAUAUAUAUAUAUAUAUAUAUAUAUAUAUAUAGUCA